RNAcentral lists this long non-coding RNA (290 nucleotides) under Homo sapiens (human). RNAcentral's name for it is "HSALNT0372072". The record is from RNAcentral. Lineage: Eukaryota; Metazoa; Chordata; Mammalia; Primates; Hominidae.
GAAUAGGAGUGGUGAGAGAGGGCAUCCCUGACAUGGGUGAGACUGAAAACCCCUGCAUCCUUGAGCUCAUGGACGAUGUGCUCUAUGAGGCAGUAGAGGAGCUCCGCCUGGUACUCGACACUCCACAAAGCAACUCUCCCUUUGGGGCUGCAGUUGGUGAACAAAAAGAAACUCUCAAGGAUCCAAGAUGAUGCUGAUAAGACUUAUUAAAUUUGGAGAAACCAAAUUUAACGUCACUGAACCCAAAGAACCCGGAGAGUCAGUGGUUAUAAGAAUUCCAGUGAUUCACC